GUUGAACGCUGGCGGCGUGCCUAAUACAUGCAAGUCGAGCGAAGCGGGGACGGGUGAGUAAUACGUGGAUAACCUCCUAUAAGACUGGGAUAACUUCGGGAAACGGGAGCAAUACACGAUACUUAUCGAUUGAUCUUCGCUGCAUUAGCUAGUUGGUAAGGUACCGGCUUACCAAGCCUACGAUGCCUAACCGACCUGAGAGGAUGAUCGGCCACACUGGAACUGAGACACGGUCCAGACUCCUACGGGAGGCAGCAGUAGGGAAUCUUCCGCAAUGGGCGAAAGCCUGACGGAGCCACGCCGCGUGAGUGAUGAAGGUCUUCGGAUCGUAAAACUCUGUUAUUAGGGAAGCGGUACCUAAUCAGAAAGCCACGGCUAACUACGUGCCAGCAGCCGCGGUAAUAC
Molecule: ribosomal RNA, 405 nt
Filed under: uncultured bacterium
Lineage: Bacteria
Description: partial 16S ribosomal RNA
Rfam family: Bacterial small subunit ribosomal RNA
Source: RNAcentral